RNAcentral lists this ribosomal RNA (301 nucleotides) under uncultured bacterium. RNAcentral describes it as "partial 16S ribosomal RNA". It matches the Rfam family "Bacterial small subunit ribosomal RNA", at positions 509 to 807 of the family's 1533-position model. The record is from RNAcentral.
CAGCAGCCACGGUAAUACGUAGGGUGCAAGCGUUAAUCGGAAUUACUGGGCGUAAAGCGUGCGCAGGCGGUUAUAUAAGACAGAUGUGAAAUCCCCGGGCUCAACCUGGGAACUGCAUUUGUGACUGUAUAGCUAGAGUACGGCAGAGGGGGAUGGAAUUCCGCGUGUAGCAGUGAAAUGCGUAGUUAUGCGGAGGAACACCGAUGGCGAAGGCAAUCCCCUGGGCCUGUACUGACGCUCAUGCACGAAAGCGUGGGGAGCAAACUGGAUUAGAUACCCCGGUAGUCCCUGUCUCUUAUAC